GACUGACAUCAGGGAUUCGUUUUGUGAACCGUUACCGACCGCCAGAUAGGAGUGCAUACCCAGCUCUUUCAUCUGCUGCUCGCCAAUCACGCGGGUGACGACAUUUUGGCUGUAGGAGUCCGCCAGCUGGCGCGCCUGGGAGGCGAGGUAACCGGCAUUACAGAUGUUUGGCGGCAUGUUGCCGAGGUCUUUCGC
This is a non-coding RNA of Leclercia adecarboxylata, 195 nucleotides long. The record is from Rfam. NCBI's taxonomy places the organism in Bacteria, Pseudomonadati, Pseudomonadota, Gammaproteobacteria, Enterobacterales, Enterobacteriaceae.